This is a long non-coding RNA of Eriocheir sinensis (Chinese mitten crab), 908 nucleotides long. RefSeq lists it as uncharacterized. NCBI's taxonomy places the organism in Eukaryota, Metazoa, Arthropoda, Malacostraca, Decapoda, Varunidae. The transcript has 3 exons. The record is from RefSeq and is a predicted model, not a curated record.
UCAGAGAAGCACAUGGCAUUAGUAACUUGCAAGGUAAUUCAUUAGGCUCUCAACACACACUUUAUAUUGGCUCCCAGGUCAGAGGUGAGGGGUCAGGGACAUGCCGAGUGCAGAGGGCAGGUUACAGCAUCAACAAGGGCUUUCCACAUGACAGAGUAUAUUAAAAGGUAUAUUAUAUUGGCUCCCAGGUCAGAGGUGGGGGGUCAGGGACAUGCCGAGUGCAGAGGGCAGGUUACAGCAACAACAAGGGCUUUCCAUAUGACAGAGUAUAUUAAAAGGUAUAAUAUAUUGGCUCCCAGGUCAGAGGUGGGGGUCAGGGACAUGCCGAGUGCAGAGGGCAGGUUACAGCAUCAACAACAAGGGCUUUCCACAUGACAGAGUAUAUUAAAAGGUAUAUUAUAUUGGCUCCCAGGUCAGAGGUGGGGGUCAGGGACAUGCCGAGCGCAGUGGCCGGGUUACAGCAACAACAAGGGCAUUUCACAUGACAGAAUAUAUUAAAAGGUGCAGAUAUAUAUUAGCAAGAGUGCAUAACAGGCAUGAGAGCUUGGCAAUUGGCAGCAUUUGAUGGGAAGAUGAAAAAGAGAUGUAAUUUUUUAAGCCUGAGUAGUUUUGAAGUGAGAUUUUUGGGUACUGUAUAGAUAUUAAAAAAUGCAGAUGUAUAUUAUCAAGUGUACAUAACAGGCAUAAGAGCUUGGCAGGGUUUGAUGGGAAGAUAAAAAAAGAUGUAAUUUUUUUAGCCUGGGUAGUUUUGAAGUGAGAUUUUUGGGUACUGUAUAGAUAUUAAAAAAUGCAGAUGUAUAUUAUCAAGUGUACAUAACAGGCAUAAGAGCUUGGCAGGGUUUGAUGGGAAGAUAAAACAGAGAUGUAAUUUGUUUUCCGAGUAGUUCUGAAGCGAGAUUUUUGGGUAC